This 2614-nucleotide ribosomal RNA is filed under the name Cyanobacteria bacterium CYA. RNAcentral describes it as "23S ribosomal RNA". It matches the Rfam family "Bacterial large subunit ribosomal RNA". Lineage: Bacteria; Bacillati; Cyanobacteriota. The record is from RNAcentral.
UGUGACCAGGCCAGUAAGGGCACACGGUGAAUGACUUGGCGUCGAGAGGCGAUGAAAGACGUGGCAACCUGCGAUAAGCCCAGGGGAGUUGGAAGCGAACUGAGAUCCUGGGAUUUCUGAAUGGGGCAACCCACCCUUCGGGGUAUCACGGACUGAAUGCAUAGGUUCGUGAGGCGAACGUGGGGAACUGAAACAUCUCAGUACUCACAGGAAAGGAAAGCAACAGCGACUCCGUGAGUAGCGGCGAGCGAAAGCGGACAGUCGAUAGCACAUUGAACGCGUUGGAAUGCGCGACCGAAGAAGGUGAAAGUCCUGUAGGUGUGUGAAUCGGCACAGCCCAAGAGUAGGCUCGGGCUCGUGGAACCCGGGUUGAAGAUGGGGGGUCCACCCUCCAAGGCUAAGUACUACUCGACGACCGAUAGAGAAACAGUAAAGCGAUUGAAAGUUGAAAAGCACCGCCAUGAGCGGGGUGAAAGAGUACCUGAAACCGUGUGCCUACAAGCGGUCGGAGCCCUCCGGGGUGACGGCGUGCUUUUUGCAUAAUGAGCUCGCGAGUUAGUCUCUGCGGCGAGCCUAAGGCCUAUCGGGCCGGAGGCGGAGCGAAAGCGAGUCUGAACAGGGCGUUCAGUCGCAGGGACUAGACACGAAACCCGUGUGAUCUACCCAUGGUCAGUGUGAAGGGCGGGUAAAGCCGCCUGGAGGCACGAACUCGUUGUCGUUGAAAAGACAUGAGAUGAACUGUGGGGAGGGGUUAAAGUCCAAUCAUACCGGGAGAUAGCUUGUUCUCGCCGAAAUAACUUUAGGGUUAGCCUCAGAGUGCAACUGUCGGGGGUAGAGCUACUGGAUGAGAGGUGGGCCCUACCCGGGUACCCCUUUCAACCAAACUCCGAAUACCGGCAGCCAAGUUCUGGGAGAUAGACUGCGAGUGAUAAUAUCCGCGGUCAAAAGGAGAAUAAUCCAGAUCGCCAGCUAAGGCCCCCAAUCUCGGCUUAGUUCGUAAGGAAGUCAGAUUGCCGUGACAACCAGGAUGUUGGCUUAGAAGCAGCCAUCAUUUAAAGAGUGCGUAAUAGCUCACUGGUCGAGGAGUCUGGCGCCGAUAAUGAUCGGGAAUAAGCCGGGAGCCGAAGCUGCGGACAUCGCAAGAUGUGGUAGGCGAGCGUUCCAUGGGCGGUGAAGCUGUUCCGGAAGGGACGGUGGAGCGCAUGGAAGUGCAUAUGCGGGCUUAAGUAACGAUAAACAGGGUGAGAAUCCCUGUCGCCGCAAGCCCAAGGUUUCCUGGGGAAGGUAAUUCCGCCCAGGGUUAGUCGGGUCCUAAGGCGAGGCCGAAGGGCGUAGUCGAUGGACAGCAGGUUAAUAUUCCUGCACACCCGCAGAGAUCGAAGCGUGAUGCGGAUCUCCAAGGUCAGCGAGAGCAACAAGUUGCGAGGUUUCGGCCGAUGCUGAUGGAGGGGGUUCCCAGAAAAGUCACGUGGGCAAAGCGGGUCCCGUACCAAAACUGACACAGGUGGGCGAGGCGAAUAGCCUCAGGCGCUCGAGAGAACGGUCGUGAAGGAACUAGGCAAAUUAACCCCGUACGUUCGCACUUCGGCGAAGCUCGGAACCCAAGCACCGGUCAAUGGCGGCCGUAACUAUGACGGUCCUAAGGUAGCGAAGUUCCUUGUCGGGUAAGUUCCGACGCGCAUGAAUAGCGUAAUCACCGGAGCACUGUCUCCACGACCGACUCGGUGAAAUAGUAGUGGCGGUGAAGAUGCCGCCUCCCCGCAGCAAGACGGAAAGACCCCGUGGACCUUUACUGCAGGCUUCUAUUGGUCACGAGCACAUGAUGCGUAGGAUAGGUGGGAGACUUUGAGGCGGGCGUUUCGGCGCUCGCGGAGUCAUCGGUGAAAUACCACCCUUCGUGAGUUUGUGGCCUAACCCCGAUUCCCUUGAAGCAGGGCGGGGGACAGUGGGUGCUGGGUAGUUUGACUGGGGCGGUCUCCUCCUAAAGAGUAACGGAGGAGUGCAAAGGUCGGCUCAGCGCGGAUGGAAACCGCGUCUUAGAGUGCAAAGGCACAAGCCGGCUUUACUGCGAGUCCGACGGGACGAGCAGUCACGAAAGUGGGCCUUAGUGAUCCUGCGCUCCCGUGUGGAAGGGGCGUAGCUCAACGGAUAAAAGGUACCCCGGGGAUAACAGGCUUAUCGCUCCCGAGCGUCCAUAGCGGCGGAGCGGUUUGGCACCUCGAUGUCGGCUCAUCGCAUCCUGGGGCUGUAGGCGGUCCCAAGGGUUGGGCUGUUCGCCCAUUAAAGCGGUACGCGAGCUGGGUUCAGACCGGCGUGAGCCAGGUCGGUCCCUAUCUGCUGUGGGCGUUCCAGACUUGUGAGGAGUCAACUCUAGUACGAGAGGACUGAGUUGGACCGACCCCUGGUGAUCCUGUUGCACCGCUCGGUGCACCGCAGGGUAGCUACGUCGGGCAGGGAUAACCGCUGAAAGCAUCUAAGCGGGAAGCCCCCCUCGAGAUAAGGUCUGGUUGUCUUUGACGAGAGACCCCCGGAAGACUACCGGGUUGAUAGGCCGCGCGUGCAAGGGCUGAGAGGCUCUCAGCGGAGCGGUACUAACGGUCAAAGGCCUGGUCAC